UCAGACGAUGCGUCAUGCAUAUCAAUAAGCGGAGGAAAAGAAACUAACAAGGAUUCCCUUAGUAACGGCGAGUGAAGCGGGAAGAGCUCAAAUUUGAAAUCUUCAAGGUUUUACCUUGACGAAUUGUAGUUUAAAGAAGUGUUUUCUGCUGAAGUUUUGGUAAAAGUUCUUUGGAAUAGGACAUCAUAGAGGGUGAGAAUCCCGUAUUUGACCAUUAUUUUCAGCUUUGUGAUACACUUUCAAAGAGUCGGAUUGUUUGGGAAUGCAGUCCAAAAUGGGUGGUAAAUUUCAUCUAAAGCUAAAUAUUGGCGAGAGACCGAUAGCGAACAAGUACCGUGAGGGAAAGAUGAAAAGAACUUUGAAAAGAGAGUUAAACAGUACGUGAAAUUGUCAAAAGGGAAGCGUUUGACACCAGUGUUGUUUUCUCGAAAAUCAAUUAAAAAUGGCUCGAUUUUGUAUUGCUUGAGACCUUAAAAGCUCACUGUACAUUUUUCGUGUCUUUUUUAAUGCACUUUUCGUUUAACAAGUCAACAUCAGUUUCUUUUGUUGUAAAAGGGAUCAUUGGAAGGUGGCUUUCUUUUCGGAGAAAGUAUUUAUAGCCUUUGGCCUCUGCAAUCGGAGAGACUGAGGUCUGCAGCGUAGACUCUUCGGGGUUAGAUACAUUUGUGCUAAGUUAUAGCUUUUUAUAGACAACUUGUUGACUAUAAUUAGUCUUGUAGCUUACUCGCUUAUGCUAUUUUACCUACGCUUAGGAUGUUGACUGAUAUGUAGUCGUA
This 776-nucleotide ribosomal RNA is filed under the name uncultured Neocallimastigales. Its description in RNAcentral is "partial large subunit ribosomal RNA". It matches the Rfam family "Eukaryotic large subunit ribosomal RNA", at positions 18 to 644 of the family's 3401-position model. Lineage: Eukaryota; Fungi; Neocallimastigomycota; Neocallimastigomycetes; Neocallimastigales. The record is from RNAcentral.